AGUGAACGCUGGCGGUAGGCCUAACACAUGCAAGUCGAACGGCAGCACAGUAAGAGCUUGCUCUUACGGGUGGCGAGUGGCGGACGGGUGAGGAAUACAUCGAAAUCUACUUUUUCGUGGGGGAUAACGUAGGGAAACUUACGCUAAUACCGCAUACGACCUACGGGUGAAAGCAGGAGAUCUUCGGACCUUGCGCGAUUGAAUGAGCCGAUGUCGGAUUAGCUAGUUGGCGGGGUAAAGGCCCACCAAGGCGACGAUCCGUAGCUGGUCUGAGAGGUUGAUAGGCCCACUGGAACCUAGACACGGUCCAGACUCCUACCGGAGGCAGCCGUUGGGAAUAUUGGAACAUUGGCGGAAGCCUGAUCCAGCCCUACCGCGUUGGUGAAGAAGGCCUUCGGGUUGGAAAGCCCUUUUGUUGGGAAAGAAAAGCAGCAGGUUAAUACCCCGCUGUUCUGACGGUACCCAAAGAAUAAGCACCGGCUAACUUCGUG
This 491-nucleotide ribosomal RNA is filed under the name uncultured bacterium. Its description in RNAcentral is "partial 16S ribosomal RNA". It matches the Rfam family "Bacterial small subunit ribosomal RNA", at positions 29 to 507 of the family's 1533-position model. The record is from RNAcentral.